GGUCCAGACUCCUACGGGAGGCAGCAGUGGGGGAUAUUGCACAAUGGGGGAAACCCUGAUGCAGCGACGCCGCGUGAGUGAAGAAGUAUUUCGGUAUGUAAAGCUCUAUCAGCAGGGAAGAAAAUGACAGUACCUGACCAAGAAGCCCCGGCUAACUACGUGCCAGCAGCCGCGGUAAUACGUAGGGGGCAAGCGUUAUCCGGAUUUACUGGGUGUAAAGGGAGCGUAGACGGUUAUGUAAGUCUGGAGUGAAAGCCCGGGGCCCAACCCCGGGACUGCUUUGGAAACUUUUUUGCUGGAGUACCGGAGAGGUAAGCGGAAUUCCUAGUGUAGCGGUGAAAUGCGUAGAUAUUAGGAGGAACACCAGUGGCGAAGGCGGCUUACUGGACGGUAACUGACGUUGAGGCUCGAAAGCGUGGGGAGCAAACAGGAUUAGAUACCCCUGUAAAC
RNAcentral lists this ribosomal RNA (450 nucleotides) under uncultured bacterium. RNAcentral's name for it is "bacterial SSU rRNA". It matches the Rfam family "Bacterial small subunit ribosomal RNA", at positions 328 to 795 of the family's 1533-position model. The record is from RNAcentral.